Molecule: ribosomal RNA, 297 nt
Filed under: uncultured Pseudomonadota bacterium
Lineage: Bacteria; Pseudomonadati; Pseudomonadota
Description: uncultured proteobacterium partial 16S ribosomal RNA
Rfam family: Bacterial small subunit ribosomal RNA
Source: RNAcentral
AACGAACGCUGGCGGCAGGCUUAACACAUGCAAGUCGAGCGCAUCCUUCGGGGUGAGCGGCGGACGGGUUAGUAACGCGUGGGAACGUGCCCUCUUCUACGGAACAGCCUCGGGAAACUGAGAUUAAUACCGUAUACGUCCCGUAAGGGAGAAAGAUUUAUCGGAGGAGGAUCGGCCCGCGUUGGAUUAGGUAGUUGGUGGGGUAAUGGCCUACCAAGCCGACGAUCCAUAGCUGGUUUGAGAGGAUGAUCAGCAACACUGGGACUGAGACACGGCCCAGACACCUACGGGUGGCAG